Molecule: unclassified non-coding RNA, 340 nt
Filed under: soil metagenome
Description: partial contains 5.8S ribosomal RNA, internal transcribed spacer 2, and large subunit ribosomal RNA
Rfam family: 5.8S ribosomal RNA (bases 1-120)
Source: RNAcentral
GAUGAAGAACGUAGCGAAAUGCGAUAAGUAGUGUGAAUUGCAGAAUUCAGUGAAUCAUCGAAUCUUUGAACGCACAUUGCGCCCUUUGGUAUUCCAAAGGGCAUGCCUGUUCGAGCGUCAUUUGUACCCUCAAGCUUUGCUUGGUGUUGGGCGUCUUGUCUCUAGCUUUGCUGGAGACUCGCCUUAAAGUAAUUGGCAGCCGGCCUACUGGUUUCGGAGCGCAGCACAAGUCGCACUCUCUAUCAGCAAAGGUCUAGCAUCCACUAAGCCUUUUUUUCAACUUUUGACCUCGGAUCAGGUAGGGAUACCCGCUGAACUUAAGCAUAUCAAUAGCGGAGGA